UGCCUGCCAGGUGACAACUUGUUUAACGGCCGCGGUAUUCUGACCGUGCUAAGGUAGCGUAAUCACUUGUCUUUUAAAUGAAGACCCGUAUGAAUGGCGAAACGAGGGCUUAACUGUCUCCUUCCCCAAGUCAAUGAAAUUGAUCUCCCCGUGCAGAAGCGGGGAUUAUAUCAUAAGACGAGAAGACCCUAUGGAGCUUUAGACAAAUGACCCAUAUUCCCUAAACCCCUGCCACGGGACUAAAUUUGAUGGGCCCUCUUUCAAUGUCUUCGGUUGGGGCGACCAUGGGGAAGAUAAAACCCCCACGUGGAAAGGGGCCAUAAACGCAUGACUACUACCCCUCAAGGCAGGGCGACAGCCCUACCUAGCAGAAAUUCUGACCAAUCUGAUCCGGGCUACCCGAUCAACGAACCAAGUUACCCUAGGGAUAACAGCGCAAUCCCCUUUUAGAGUCCAUAUCGACAAGGGGGUUUACGACCUCGAUGUUGGAUCAGGACAUCCUAAUGGUGCACCGCUAUUAAGG
This 523-nucleotide ribosomal RNA is filed under the name Pseudorhombus arsius (largetooth flounder). Its description in RNAcentral is "partial 16S large subunit ribosomal RNA". It matches the Rfam family "Bacterial large subunit ribosomal RNA", at positions 1856 to 2570 of the family's 2925-position model. The record is from RNAcentral. Lineage: Eukaryota; Metazoa; Chordata; Actinopteri; Pleuronectiformes; Paralichthyidae.